This 444-nucleotide ribosomal RNA is filed under the name uncultured bacterium. RNAcentral describes it as "bacterial SSU rRNA". It matches the Rfam family "Bacterial small subunit ribosomal RNA", at positions 53 to 507 of the family's 1533-position model. The record is from RNAcentral.
ACAUGCAAGUCGAGCGGAGACAGAUUUGAGCUUGCUUCUGAGAUAUUCUAGCGGCGGACGGGUGAGUAACGCGUGAGCAACCUUUCUCUCAGUGGGGAAUAACACAGGGAAACUUGUACUAAUACCGCAUGAGACCACAGAGUCGCAUGACUUAGGGGUCAAAGAUUUAUGCUGAGAGGUGGGCUCGCGUCUGAUUAGGUAGUUGGUGAGGUAACGGCUCACCAAGGCGACGAUCAGUAGCCGGACUGAGAGGUUGAACGGCCACAUUGGGACUGAGAUACGGCCCAGACUCCUACGGGAGGCAGCAGUCGGGAAUAUUGCGCAAUGGAGGAAACUCUGACGCAGUGACGCCGCGUAUAGGACGAAGGUCUUCGGAUUGUAAACUAUUGUCGUUAGGGAAGAGAAAGGACAGUACCUAAGGAGGAAGCUCCGGCUAACUACGUG